Molecule: long non-coding RNA, 4537 nt
Filed under: Triticum aestivum (bread wheat)
Lineage: Eukaryota; Viridiplantae; Streptophyta; Magnoliopsida; Poales; Poaceae
Description: long non-coding RNA (TAES_LNC012475)
Source: RNAcentral
CUUGGUGAAACCGUAGGAAAUUUUUUAAUUUUCUGCAACGUUCCCCAACACCUACAUCAUGACUAAAGUCUUUUAUCAUCACCAAAAGAUCAUAGACUGACUGAAGAAACAGAAGGAAGCAGGCUAGAAUGCAGUGAAAGCAGUUAUUUCAUCGCAGCAACAGACUCGUCCUGAAGUAGAUUAGCGUCACCCCAGGAUUCUCCCAGUCUUCAGGUGCCACCCAUGAGCUGCUUUGAACACUUCUUCCGCCACCUCGCUUACUUGCUUCACUCCAGCCUCCAUCAUCUUACUUCUUGCGGUAUUUGUCUACAAAACAUUCCAAUAAAUUUUUGAGAAACAGGUUAACAGGUACACAAGGGUCAUUCACCCUGUUGUUAUCAAAAAUAAUGUUGUUCCUUAGCUUCCAAAUAGUCCAGCAGAUCGGUGAAAUGCCUACCAUGACCAAACCUUUUUCAUCUUUUCCAAAUGUCUUUAGCCAUGUUUUCAUUAUUGCAUCCAGGGUUUCUGGAAUGUUUUUCAAAUUGAAAGCACAUUUCAAAAUGUUCCACAACAAUCUAGCAACUGAAUAGGAUAGAAAAAGAUGAUUGAUAUUUUCUUUACGUCCACAGAAAGGACAUCUAUCAUCCCCUUUCCACCCUCUACGGAGCAGAUUGUCCUUGGUAAGUAUACUGUUCCUAAGAGCCAACUACGUGAACACCUUGAUUUUGGGUGGCAUUUUAAUCUUCCACAUGUACAGGUGUGGAUAUUUGACACCAUUUUCAAUCAAAUGUCUGUAAAAGGAUUUUAUAGUGUAUACUCCUUUUUUGGUCAAAGACCAUUUUACCUCGUCUUUAUCCUCAUUUAGAGUCACCGAACUACAAGCUUCUUUAAUAUGUUCCCAGAGCUAUCUAGCAUCUCCUAUCGGAGUUCUUCUAAAAUGCACAUUACCUAAACUAUUUUCAAACACCUCCUUAACUGUUUUCUUUUUAUCAAAACAAAGCUCAUAUAGUCUAGGGAAGUUUUUACUUAGUGGGGCAGAGCCAAUCCACCAGUCUUCCCAAAAGCAUGUUCUAUCUCCAUUUCCAAUUCUAAACUUGCACAAAGAGGUAAAAUGAUCUCUAUGUUUCAGUACCUCCCUCCAAAACUGGGAAUCUCCCUGUUUGUCUAGUACAAUACCCAGAUUCUUAUUCUUAACAUAUUUUUUCCAAAUAAUAUCUUGCCGCAAACCCUCAGUUGUGUAUAAUUUCCACCACCAUUUACAUAGCAAUGCUUUGUUCAUAUACAUAAAAUUUUGAAUUCCCAAACCCCCCAUAUCUUUUGGGUUGCACACCUCAAACCAUUUUACUAAAUGAUAUUUCUUUUUUUGGUCAUUCUCCUGCCAUAGAAGUCUGGCUCUAAAGAAAUCCAUGCGUUUUUCUACCCCAAUGGGGAGCCCAUAAAAGGACAUCAUAAAGUAGGGUAUGCCCGUCAAAGACAACUGAAUCAGCGUAACCCUCACUGCACUGGCAAGCAGUCUGCCUUGCCAUGUUUCACACUUUCUCUCCAUCUUAUUCUCCGGAGGUUUCCAAUGUUUAUUACAAAUUCUAUUUUUAUCUAUAGGCAGUCCUAAAUAUUUCAUUGGCAAGGCACCCACUGGACAUGUGAAAAUUCUUGCAUAUUCAUCUUUCUUAUCAAUGGCUUCUCCAAACAGGAAAAGCUCACUUUUAUGAAAAUUAAUCUUCAACACAGACAUUUGCUCAAACAAGCACAGGAUGUAUUUCAGAUUAUGUGCACUUUCUACAUCAUCUUAUAAUAAAAAUAUGGUAUCAUCUGCAUAUUGUAGCAUAUUAACCCCAUUUGGAAUAUAUCCAUUUAAAACCCCUUUCACCAACCCACUUUCUCUGGCAUUAUCUAACAUGAUUGCCAGGGCAUCAGCAGCCAGAUCAAAGUUCAGAGGGGAUAGGGAAUCUCCCUGCCUUAAUCCCUUAUGAGUAGGCAAAUAUUUCCCUAGGUUCUCAUUAACCUUGACACAUACUCCCCCCUCUAAUAGUCUCCAUAACCCAAUCAAUCCAUUUGUCUGGAAACCCUUUCGUUUUCAACAUUUGAAAGAGGAAGGACCAUUUGAUUUUGUCAUAUGCCUUUUCAAAAUCAAUUUUCAAAAGCAGAGCACUUUCCUUUUUCCUUUUUAUGUUGUUCAAAGCCUCAUGAAGAAUCAAAACCCCUUCCAUAAUAUAUCUGCCUUUAACAAAAGCAGUCUGAACAGGAGAAAUAACAUCAGCAGCUACCAAGUUUAACCUGUUCAUUAACACUUUUGUAAUAAUUUUGAAGCAGACAUUCAGCAAGCAAAUUGGCCUGAAUUUUUGUAUUUGAUUAGCUUCUUUUCCUUUUGGGACUAGAGUUAUAAUCCCAUAGCUUAAUCUACUAAUAUCAAUUUUCCUAUUAGCAAAGUCAUCCAGCAAAGCUUUUAGGUCAUGUUUCACCAGUUCCUAGUAGUGCUGAUAAAAUUCAGCAGUGAAGCCAUCUGGUCCAGGUGAUUUAUUGUGUGCCAUUUUAAAAACAACAUUCUUGAUUUCCUCCAAAGAAAAUUCUUCAAUCAGAAUUUUUUCAUAUCUCUCCUGGAUCCUAGUGGGGUUAUCAAUAUUUAAUGAGAUAGAGGAAUUAUUAGGCGGGCCAAACAAGUUUUUGUAGAAAGUGGUAAUAUAAUCUAUCAGAUUUUUAUCCCCUUCUAUCACCCCCCUCAUCCUGUUCUAAUCUGUUAAUUCUGUUUCUUCUAAGUCUCCCAUUUGCCUUGGCAUGGAAGAAUUUAGUGUUGCUGUCCCCUUCUAGAAUCUCAUCAAUUUGGCUCUCUGCCUCCAUUUAGUCUCCUCCUGUUUACGGAGUCUAUCAAGCCGGGCUCUCAAUUCUAUCUGCUCUUUUCUAUUAGCAGAUGUAAGGCCAUUAAUCUCACAGUUUUUAUCAAUAAUAUCCAAUUUCAGUAGGAUAUCUUUUUAAAAUUCAAUAUACUAGGCAUUCAUAUUUCUAUUCCACCCUUUAAGUUUAGGUCUUAGAUUUCGAAACUUCCCCAACAAUCUAUCUAUGCUGUCUCCUUUAAUGUUAGGAUCAUUUUAGACUUUCUGUACAAUUUCAUCAAUUCCUUCUCUCGGAAACCAGGCAUUUUCAAAUCUGAAAAUUGGAUCAGAUUUUUGGAAAUCUCCAGAAUCCAAGAAAAGAGGAGUGUGGUCAGACUUCUCUCUAGUCAAAGCUGUCACUUGGGUUAAGGGAUAUGCCUCUUCCCAUUCUGUGCUACAAAGGAUUCUAUCUAGCUUUUCAAAAGUAGGAAUGUGCAUAAUAUUCCCCCAAGUGAAUUGUCUCCCGUUCAUGUUAAGCUCUCUCACCCCAGCUUGUUCCAGGAUGGCAUUAAAUAGAAAACUCCAAUGCCUAGGGGACCCUGGUUUGUUUUUCUCACUAGCCUUUCUAAUAAUAUUAAAAUCACCUCCAAUCAAAAUUGGAUUAACACAAUUCUAGAUGACUCUGGACAACUCAGCAAGAAAUAAAGCUUUCCUUUCUGGUUGUGCAUCUCCAUAUAUCACCACUAGGUCCUAAAUUAACCUAUUUUUAACAUCCUGGACUGUCAUUUUUAUAUGGUAGUCACCUUCAUCCUGUGAAAUCACAUCUAAGGUGGUAUAAUUAACCCCUAACAGAAGACCACCAGAUUUCCCCCUAGCUGGAGUGAAAUGCCAGUGAAAAUCCCUUCCUACACAAAUUUGUUGUAGAUCAUUUCUAGAAAACUGUUGUCUCAUGGUCUCUUGUAAGCCCAAGAUAUCCACUCUCAUGUCCAUAAUCAUUUCCCCGAGGAAUCUUUUUUUGAUGUCUCCCCCAAAUCCUCUCAUGUUCCAAAAAAUCCCCCUCAUCUUUUUUUCUUGUUUUUCCUACCAGAAGAUUCUAGGUUUUUGAUAGCAGAGGCAAUUUUAACUCCAGAAUCUCUGGUAGUUUUACCACUUUUUUUUCUCUUUUUUUGAUGAGAAAAGCUCUUUUAGGAGUUCCCACUCUUCAUUUACUUCCUCUUCUCUCUCAUUUUCCCCACUAUCUAAUAAAUCUUCUAGAGAAUGUUCUCCAGUAUCAAUGAUAUUAUGCUCCUCAGGCAGAGAGGUUUGUUUUUGAUUGUUACUAUAAUCUACUAGCCACAUAUCAAUCCUUGCCUGUUCAGUCAUUUUUAUUAACUCCAAAUUAUGGUUGAUAAUGUCAGGCUUUUUUCCCAAAUUAACUCCAACCCCCUUAGCAAUCUGUUGUAGAAUAUUAUUGGAUCUAGAGAUAAUAUCAAAGGGUGUGUACUCACCAUAGUUGUUUUUCUGGGCCACUCUUUCUUUAGCCAGUUUAGUGAUCUUUUUGUCUUCCUUGCCUUCCAGUCUAGUGCAUCUUCUCAGUUCUUCUUCCUCUUGGGAUUCCAGUUCCCCUAUCCCAGCCUUCUUAAUCUUUGUUUCAAAGGAUUCAGUCUCCUGACUAGCAGUAUAAUCCACAGGCUCCAUAUAGCCCAUCCCCACAGCCUGCUCAAUCAACUCCAAGUCUGUCAUCCCCUCCCCCUCUUCCUGUUUGUCUUCUG